RNAcentral lists this ribosomal RNA (508 nucleotides) under uncultured bacterium. RNAcentral describes it as "partial 16S ribosomal RNA". It matches the Rfam family "Bacterial small subunit ribosomal RNA", at positions 28 to 507 of the family's 1533-position model. The record is from RNAcentral.
GACGAACGCUGGCGGCGUGCCUAAUGCAUGCAAGUCGAACGCUUCUUUCCUCCCGAGUGCUUGCACUCAAUUGGAAAGAGGAGUGGCGGACGGGUGAGUAACACGUGGGUAACCUACCCAUCAGAGGGGGAUAACACUUGGAAACAGGUGCUAAUACCGCAUAACAGUUUAUGCCGCAUGGCAUAAGAGUGAAAGGCGCUUUCGGGUGUCGCUGAUGGAUGGACCCGCGGUGCAUUAGCUAGUUGGUGAGGUAACGGCUCACCAAGGCCACGAUGCAUAGCCGACCUGAGAGGGUGAUCGGCCACACUGGGACUGAGACACGGCCCAGACUCCUACGGGAGGCAGCAGUAGGGAAUCUUCGGCAAUGGACGAAAGUCUGACCGAGCAACGCCGCGUGAGUGAAGAAGGUGUUCGGAUCGUAAAACUCUGUUGUUAGAGAAGAACAAGGACGUUAGUAACUGAACGUCCCCUGACGGUAUCUAACCAGAAAGCCACGGCUAACUACGUG